Molecule: ribosomal RNA, 303 nt
Filed under: uncultured bacterium
Lineage: Bacteria
Description: bacterial SSU rRNA
Rfam family: Bacterial small subunit ribosomal RNA
Source: RNAcentral
UGGGGGAUAUUGCACAAUGGGGGAAACCCUGAUGCAGCGACGCCGCGUGAGGGAAGACGGCCUUCGGGUUGUAAACCUCUGUUGCAGGGGACGAAGGAAGUGACGGUACCCUGUGAGGAAGCCACGGCUAACUACGUGCCAGCAGCCGCGGUAAUACGUAGGUGGCAAGCGUUGUCCGGAAUUACUGGGUGUAAAGGGAGCGUAGGCGGGAGUGCAAGUUGAAUGUAUAAACUAUCGGCUCAACUGAUAGAAGCGUUCAAAACUGCACUUCUUGAGUGAAGUAGAGGCAGGCGGAAUUCCUAG